GUGAAAUUUCAAAAAAAAGAUGAAAUAAACAUGCGUUUUAUAUUACAUCUUUGUAUUGAUGUAUAACCUUACCAAAAUACAUACAUAUAGUUCUUCAAUGAUGAAGAUAAUCAUCAGUUGGUGGUAUGAGCAGGACCUGAAGAAGAAAGGGGAGAACAACAACUAUUUCCUUAUUGUUACAUUAAAAUAUCUUCAGCUUUCGGAGGUAAUUUUAAUUUUGGUUUAUCAAAGGAGCUUAAAGUUUGCCUAAAGCCCGAACAUUUAUUUCAAUUGAAUGUAAACAACAGUUAUUGUGUUUCAUACCUAAAAGACUAUUAGAUAAAGGCAACAUUAAUAUACCGCUGUUCGAAAUUCAUAAAUCGAUUGAGAGAAAACAAAUCCGGGUUACAAACUAAAACUAGGGUAAACACAUUAACUAUAAGAAGAAAACAACGAAACAACAGAAACACUGAAGUGCAACAAAAAAGACAAAACGAC
RNAcentral lists this long non-coding RNA (477 nucleotides) under Mytilus galloprovincialis (Mediterranean mussel). The record is from RNAcentral. Lineage: Eukaryota; Metazoa; Mollusca; Bivalvia; Mytilida; Mytilidae.